This 255-nucleotide ribosomal RNA is filed under the name Salmonella enterica subsp. enterica serovar Muenchen. Its description in RNAcentral is "partial 23S ribosomal RNA". It matches the Rfam family "Bacterial large subunit ribosomal RNA", at positions 1106 to 1275 of the family's 2925-position model. The record is from RNAcentral. Lineage: Bacteria; Pseudomonadati; Pseudomonadota; Gammaproteobacteria; Enterobacterales; Enterobacteriaceae. RNAcentral also lists the same sequence under 1 other name.
UUAGAAGCAGCCAUCAUUUAAAGAAAGCGUAAUAGCUCACUGGUCGAGUCGGCCUGCGCGGAAGAUGUAACGGGGCUAAACCAUGCACCGAAGCUGCGGCAGCGAACGUAUCACCCAAGACAACUUUGCGGAGUUGACGAUUGACGGAGCGAAGCGACGUCAAAGCGUUCAUUAAAGUCGAGUUGGCUUAGGGAUACGUUCGUUGGGUAGGGGAGCGUUCUGUAAGCCUGUGAAGGUGGCCUGUGAGGGUUGCUG